UACGAAGGGGGCUAGCGUUGCUCGGAAUCACUGGGCGUAAAGCGCACGUAGGCGGCUUCUUAAGUCAGGGGUGAAAUCCUGGAGCUCAACUCCAGAACUGCCUUUGAUACUGAGGAGCUUGAGUCCGGGAGAGGUGAGUGGAACUGCGAGUGUAGAGGUGAAAUUCGUAGAUAUUCGCAAGACCACCAGUGGCGAAGGCGGCUUGCCAGAAUGCGCUCGACGGUGAGGGAUGAAAGCUGGGGGAGCAAACCGG
This 253-nucleotide ribosomal RNA is filed under the name uncultured bacterium. RNAcentral describes it as "partial 16S ribosomal RNA". It matches the Rfam family "Bacterial small subunit ribosomal RNA", at positions 524 to 776 of the family's 1533-position model. The record is from RNAcentral.